GGAAAAUGUUGGAGGGAUUCAUUCAUUUUCUUCUCCUCUCUGCUUUUAUCUCUUUCUACGACGUCGUUUCUCCACCGCUCCUCCUCCUCCUCAGACUCCCUUUUUCGGUCGAUCGGUUUGUUUUCACACCAUAUAUCAAAGUCAAGUCUACUCGAUCCAGGUUGUGGACUGUUAACGUUUGACUUACAAAUCCUCAUGCAAAAGAACCCAUUAUAGUUUUUUUUGCUGCAGUUACUUUGACGGGAAAAUGUUGGAGGCUCCAAAGUUUGCAGGACUUAUAGACUUAAAUGAAAACCCUGAUCAUUAUGGACUCUCACAAAAUUUCUACCAUAAGCUUGGUGAGGGAUCACACAUGUCAAUCGAUAGUUAUGGGAGCUUGCAGAUGAGCAAUGGUGGAGGUUCAGUUGCAAUGUCGAUGGAUAACAGCAGUGUGGGAUCAAAUGAUUCGCAUACUCGUAUUUUAAACCAUCAGGGUCUCAAGCGUGUUCACAAUAACUAUUCGGUUGCAGCUAGUGUAAAUAAGGGAAAAACUUCUCAUGGGUUGAGUGAUGAUGCCCUAGCUAAAGCAUUGAUGGAUCCUCGAUUUCCUACUAAUGGGCUUGAGAAUUAUGAUGAGUGGACAAUUGAUUUGAGGAAGCUCAACAUGGGGCCAGCUUUUGCUCAAGGGGCUUUUGGGAAACUAUACAAAGGUACUUAUAAUGGUGAGGAUGUUGCUAUCAAGCUUCUAGAGAGGCCAGAUAAUGAUCUUGAGAGGGCUCACUUGAUGGAGCAACAGUUUCAGCAGGAAGUUAUGAUGUUGGCAAGGUUGAAACAUCCAAAUAUUGUUCGGUUUAUUGGUGCAUGCCGUAAACCCAUGGUGUGGUGUAUUGUCACUGAAUAUGCUAAAGGAGGAUCAGUUCGUCAGUUUCUCACUAGGCGACAAAAUCGAUCUGUGCCCUUGAAGUUAGCAGUGAAGCAGGCGUUGGAUGUGGCAAGGGGUAUGGAAUAUGUGCAUGGCCUGAAUCUGAUACAUCGUGACCUGAAAUCUGACAACCUACUAAUUUCUGCUGAUAAAUCAAUCAAGAUUGCGGACUUUGGAGUUGCUCGUAUUGAGGUGCAGACAGAAGGAAUGACACCAGAGACUGGAACAUACCGUUGGAUGGCUCCGGAGAUGAUCCAGCACCGACCGUACACACAAAAAGUUGAUGUUUAUAGUUUUGGCAUUGUUCUGUGGGAGCUCCUAACGGGGAUGCUUCCCUUCCAGAACAUGACUGCUGUGCAGGCAGCUUUUGCAGUUGUCAACAAAGGUGUCCGUCCAACCAUCCCCACUGAUUGUUUACCUGUCCUAGCUGAAAUCAUGACUUGCUGCUGGGAUGGUAACCCUGACAAUAGACCUCCGUUCUCUCAGGUGGUCAGAAUGCUUGAGGCUGCAGAAACAGAGAUCUUGACGAAGGUCAGAAAAGCCCGUUUCAGAUGCUGCAUUAGUCAACCCAUGACUACAGAUUGAUAUGGAAAGAGAAACUGUAGGUGCAGUAAAGGGCAAGAGUAAAGGAUUUGGAAAGGCUAAGCUGAAGUGAUUCCAAAGUCUGGCAUGUGUAUCUAUGAGGCAUAAUUUCUUUGCUCAGAUAGAAAAAAGGGGAGAAAGUUAUGACAAGGAACUGUUUGAUUUUGUGUUGUAUCUUCUUUUGAUUUCCUUUUCUUCUUGAAUUUAAGAUUCUGAUUAGUGAUAAUAGAAGAGUAUGUGUAUGUAUACAUGUCCAUUU
RNAcentral lists this unclassified non-coding RNA (1742 nucleotides) under Hevea brasiliensis (rubber tree). Lineage: Eukaryota; Viridiplantae; Streptophyta; Magnoliopsida; Malpighiales; Euphorbiaceae. The record is from RNAcentral.